Molecule: ribosomal RNA, 911 nt
Filed under: Kellermania yuccigena
Lineage: Eukaryota; Fungi; Ascomycota; Dothideomycetes; Botryosphaeriales; Planistromellaceae
Description: eukaryotic LSU rRNA
Rfam family: Eukaryotic large subunit ribosomal RNA
Source: RNAcentral
UUAAGCAUAUCAAUAAGCGGAGGAAAAGAAACCAACAGGGAUUGCCUCAGUAACGGCGAGUGAAGCGGCAACAGCUCAAAUUUGAAAUCUGGCGCCUUCGGCGUCCGAGUUGUAAUUUGUAGAGGAUGUUUCGGCGAGGGCUCCCGUCUAAGUCCCUUGGAACAGGGCGUCGCAGAGGGUGAGAAUCCCGUAUGUGAUGGGUUGCUCGAGCCAUGUGAAACUCCUUCGACGAGUCGAGUUGUUUGGGAAUGCAGCUCUAAAUGGGAGGUAAAUUUCUUCUAAAGCUAAAUACCGGCCAGAGACCGAUAGCGCACAAGUAGAGUGAUCGAAAGAUGAAAAGCACUUUGGAAAGAGAGUUAAAAAGUACGUGAAAUUGUUGAAAGGGAAGCGCUUGCAACCAGACUCGCGCGCAGUUGCUCAGCCGGUCUCCUGACCGGUGUACUCUUCUGCGUCCGGGCCAGCAUCAGUUCGGGCGGUCGGAUAAAGGCCUCGGGAAUGUGGCUCCCCUCGGGGAGUGUUAUAGCCCGGGGUGCAAUGCGGCCAGCCUGGACUGAGGAACUCGCUUCGGCUAGGAUGCUGGCGUAAUGGUUGUAAGCGGCCCGUCUUGAAACACGGACCAAGGAGUCUAACAUCUAUGCGAGUGUUUGGGUGUCAAACCCAUGCGCGUAAUGAAAGUGAACGGAGGUGGGAACCCUCACGGGUGCACCAUCGACCGAUCCUGAUGUCUUCGGAUGGAUUUGAGUAAGAGCAUAGCUGUUGGGACCCGAAAGAUGGUGAACUAUGCCUGAAUAGGGUGAAGCCAGAGGAAACUCUGGUGGAGGCUCGCAGCGGUUCUGACGUGCAAAUCGAUCGUCAAAUUUGGGUAUAGGGGCGAAAGACUAAUCGAACCAUCUAGUAGCUGGUUCCUGCCG